GUAAGUCAUUUCUCAGCACAAACCAAGAAGCUUCCUAUCAGGUAGCUCUGUUUUACAGGCAGGUGGAAAAUUCUCGCCAUGUCUUGGCCAAGUUCUGCCCUUGACCUUCAGAUUCAUGCAACGGGAAAGCUCCUGGCUAAGCUGUAGAGUCACCCAGCCCCUAAAACCAGCAGCUCCCACACAGCAGUUGCAAAGCCAUGGGAGGAGAUAAUUGCAUUGUAGUUUCCGAAACAUUUUUCUUCUGUCUGCUCCUGUAUUUGUGCACUGUGUUCCUGGCUACCUGCAUUCAUCAACUUCACUGUUGUAAUAGGCUAUUGCCUGCACGCUAAUAACCCCCUGUUCUUUAAUGUUCUCUUUCUAUUUAAUUAAUCUAUUUAUGAUAAUAGUAUGUCUCAUUUUGUGCUUUCACUCUAGAGGGUGUGUUUGUAUUAUCCUUCUGUAUAGUGUUGACUGGCCCUAUUAUCAUUUAUCAUUAAAGGCAGCAGCAACACUCUGGCCUGGCCUGCCAAUAAUUUUUCAAUUAAUUGCUUAGUGGUUGCUUUUUCUUUGCUUUUGGUCUUUGCCAGUGACUAUGAGGUCUUUAAGCUUUCUGAUUUUUUCUUUAACUUAGCAGCUGUGCUUGCUUUACACCAGGGGAUCUGCAGCAACCUGCAGUGUUACGGGGGUCAGUGUGUCGUUGUGAAAGUGUGUCCAUGUCAGAUCGCUGAAGGAUGCCCCAGUGUACGGAGUGCCCUGUAUAUGAGUGCUGCUUGUACAGUCAGACAAGUGACCUUGGCCGCAGCCGUGUGUGCGCAUCACAAAUGGGAGGCUGGCAGCUUUUGUCUGAUAUUCUCUGGCUUCAGCAUCCAGACGUUUCAUAUCAUGUAUUUCUUUACUGGUACUGAGUUCUCUUGGAGAUUCUUAUGAAGCAAAGACACAAUCCUCUUCCCAUUCCUGUUUCAGAAGACUCUGCAGGACAUCCAUUGUACCAAAAUAAUGUGACAGUCAUUAUAAACGCAGCUGGUAUCAUAUCUCGUGCUGCCCGAAGGAUGAAAUGAAGCUGUCACUGAAGGAGCCCACCAGGUUAGGCACUGGCACGUCACCCCAUUUCUUGUGAGUGAUCCACACCUUCCAUUCAAGCACCCAGAUAACUGCCCAGGUUUCCAAGAGACCUCCAUUUCCAACAGGACUUGCGGCACCAUGGAAGCGUUAUCAGAAAGCUCUCUAGAGAGCUUGGACUUGCAUCCAGCCCCAGUUUCCAUCCAGGAGCACGCAGCAGCUACAAAAGAGCAGCCUCCUCUCCACUGCCACUGCACAACUAAGAAGCUGAAUUUGUGUCCCUGCCUGUCCCCAAGGAAAAGAAGGCUGCGAGGUCUCUUAAGGAAUCUGCUCCUAUGUAUUUAGCCAACGUGUGGCACUUAUCUCUUCACUGAAGCAGACUUAAGCCAAACUGCCUUCAGCUUCCUGUUCUGUGUAUUACACUCGGCACAGAAAGGGAUGAAAAGGAACGAAUCUUGGAAGAGAAACAAAAGCCUGCAAUAAGCUGUAUUCUCGAUUACCCUGUAGCAUGCUGACUGGGAACAAGAAGAGUUGCCACGCUGACAUAUACGGCUGAAAAUUGGGUUUGCCACGUACAGCGAUGUUAAAGGAAGCUUUUCACUGCUUCCCUUGUGGGCUGCCACUGUGCUGUGCCCUUCGUGAGCACUCUGCCACUUAUCGGCACAGGUAUAAAAAUGUCCUUUGGACAAGAGACAGUGCAGGUAAGCUCUGGAGAAAUCAAAGCAGGAAAAGGAGAUAAAAGGCUAGCAAUAUUUCUGUUGCUAACUCACAGACAGGUUUAGUCUAACAAUUUCCACCUUGGCAAGCUCCAGGUCGCUAAAACAGCAUCCAGAACAAUGAGUUAAAGUUAGCGAAAAAGAUGACACAAAAUUCGGUGUUCUCACAGAAAUUCACAAACUUUCUCUGCUUCCGUGCAUUGGUUAACCCCAGGCCUCCAUCAGGCCGAGCGCUCUUCUGCUUCACUCACGCUUGCUCAGUUUCAGUGUUAAAUCCUGCUGGAAAAAAUAAAAAAUAAAAAAUUGGAAA
Long non-coding RNA from Cygnus olor (mute swan), 2064 nucleotides. RefSeq lists it as uncharacterized. The transcript is spliced from 9 exons. NCBI's taxonomy places the organism in Eukaryota, Metazoa, Chordata, Aves, Anseriformes, Anatidae. The record is from RefSeq and is a predicted model, not a curated record.